Carassius carassius (crucian carp) is the source of this 493-nucleotide long non-coding RNA. RefSeq lists it as uncharacterized. The record is from RefSeq and is a predicted model, not a curated record. NCBI's taxonomy places the organism in Eukaryota, Metazoa, Chordata, Actinopteri, Cypriniformes, Cyprinidae. The transcript is spliced from 3 exons.
UAAAGAAAUGUGGCUCUGUAGUGGACACCUGUGAGGCAGUGGACAGACAGCUGCUGAUGUCUGAUGCUGGCUGACAAUAAACAGACCUCUAGGGACGUACCCCAUCUUUUGCAGAGAAAUUAUAACAUUGCCCUUCCUGUAACAUGAUGAUCCUGCUGUCCUGGACUGUAUAUGAUGAGCCUACACAUAAUCUCAGAACAGCUGUGGUAAUAACAGAGGACCCAUUUGGUGAGAGCAGCACUGCAGACUUUCCUGAUGGUGAGGAACUUCUUGCUGAUGAAGCUGCCGACAUGAGUUCACCUUACUAUGAGUGCCUAUGUUCUGUUCAACAUUAUACAGAAAAGCAAUUAAAAGUACACUAAAGCGCACUAUUUUUCUGCUGUAUCUGUUGGCCAUUCAAGAGGAGAUCAUGGACCAUUUUCACAAGACUGAUGAUGUGUUUCAGCUGUGUUUUCAUCUUAAAUCCUCACAAUGUUUGCAUAUUUUGAUUUUA